Molecule: long non-coding RNA, 412 nt
Organism: Morus notabilis
Lineage: Eukaryota; Viridiplantae; Streptophyta; Magnoliopsida; Rosales; Moraceae
Exons: 2
Source: RefSeq, a predicted model, not a curated record
CUGAACUAUUUGAGUUAUGUUUGGCAAGUAUUAUUUGUAUGUAUGUUGUGUUUCUGGAAAUUAUAAGAUUCUUAUAACUCUACGGCUACUUCAGUUUUUCUGCAUCAUUGUCUUACUUCCUAUUGCAAGGUGUCAUGUUUGCAAUUUCAGAAAACUGGGCAAGAGAAGCUCGAGAAGCAGUCUGGCAAGGUUAAACAAUGGAGAUGACUUUUUUGUUGAAGCAUUAUGUCAAGAUGGAAGGAUUUACUUCACCAUUGCACUUAGACGUUUUGGAGAUGACUUCUCUGUUUUCUUUACUUGUUUUGAAUGUUAAGGUUUUGGACAUUGUAUGAAUUAUGUUGUAGACGUAAUUUUAUUGACAACUUGGUAGAUAUUGAUAACAAUUGAUAUGUUGAAUGUUUUUAUGUUUUAA